This 253-nucleotide ribosomal RNA is filed under the name uncultured bacterium. RNAcentral's name for it is "partial 16S ribosomal RNA". It matches the Rfam family "Bacterial small subunit ribosomal RNA", at positions 524 to 776 of the family's 1533-position model. The record is from RNAcentral.
UACGUAGGGUGCAAGCGUUGUCCGGAAUUAUUGGGCGUAAAGAGCUCGUAGGCGGCUUGUCACGUCGGCUGUGAAAACCUGGGGCUCAACCCCAGGCCUGCAGCCGAUACGGGCAAGCUAGGAUUCGGUAGGGGAGACUGGAAUUCCUGGUGUAGCGGUGAAAUGCGCAGAUAUCAGGAGGAACACCGGUGGCGAAGGCGGGUCUCUGGGCAGUAACUGACGCUGAGGAGCGAAAGCGUGGGGAGCGAACAGG